UAUUAGGUUGGUGCAGAAGUAAUUGUGGUUUUUGCCUUAAUUUUAUGGCAAAAACCACAAUUACUUUUGCACCAACCUAAUA
Molecule: microRNA precursor, 82 nt
Organism: Gorilla gorilla gorilla (western lowland gorilla)
Lineage: Eukaryota; Metazoa; Chordata; Mammalia; Primates; Hominidae
Rfam family: mir-548 microRNA precursor family
Source: Rfam